Molecule: small RNA, 311 nt
Filed under: Histoplasma capsulatum var. duboisii H88
Lineage: Eukaryota; Fungi; Ascomycota; Eurotiomycetes; Onygenales; Ajellomycetaceae
Description: Histoplasma capsulatum H88 hypothetical RNA
Source: RNAcentral
AACAGAAGGCACCAAGGUUGAAAUCAGCUCAGGUUUCCUCGCCCACUCGCUUGUGGACAUGAACCAGGCUCCUCUUUGCACAGCUUAUGCAUGCCCUUGCAAAAGCCGCUGUCCGUCGUGCUGGAUAAACUAGAGGACCCUUUGUUGAGGACCCAUUUAACCCAAAUUCCCCUUUUUGGGCGCUAAAUCAAUAACAGCCUUACCGAGUUGAGUUGAAAAUGAUCAACUCAAAAGUGCUUGCCUGCCAGGAACGAAAUCCUCAAUGUGCAGUACAUGGGAUCGACAAUCCCGGAAUAAAUGUGAUAACACAA